This 253-nucleotide ribosomal RNA is filed under the name uncultured bacterium. Its description in RNAcentral is "partial 16S ribosomal RNA". It matches the Rfam family "Bacterial small subunit ribosomal RNA", at positions 524 to 776 of the family's 1533-position model. The record is from RNAcentral.
UACGAGGGAGGCGAGCGUUGUUCGGAAUUAUUGGGCGUAAAGGGUGCGUAGGCGGUUUGGUAAGUCUUAUGUGAAAUCUACAGGCUCAACUUGUAGUCUGCAUGAGAAACUGCCGGGCUUGAGUAUGGGAGAGGUGAGUGGAAUUCCUGGUGUAGCGGUGAAAUGCGUAGAUAUCAGGAGGAGCACCUGUGGCGAAAGCGGCUCACUGGACCAUAACUGACGCUGAUGCACGAAAGCUAGGGGAGCAAACAGG